This 468-nucleotide ribosomal RNA is filed under the name uncultured bacterium. RNAcentral's name for it is "partial 16S ribosomal RNA". It matches the Rfam family "Bacterial small subunit ribosomal RNA", at positions 28 to 507 of the family's 1533-position model. The record is from RNAcentral.
GACGAACGCUGGCGGCGUGCUUAACACAUGCAAGUCGAACGGAAAGGCCCUGCUUUUGUGGGGUGCUCGAGUGGCGAACGGGUGAGUAACACGUGAGUAACCUGCCCUUGACUUUGGGAUAACUUCAGGAAACUGGGGCUAAUACCGGAUAGGAGCUCCUGCUGCAUGGUGGGGAUUGGAAAGUUUCGGCGGUUGGGGAUGGACUCGCGGCUUAUCAGCUUGUUGGUGGGGUAGUGGCUUACCAAGGCUUUGACGGGUAGCCGGCCUGAGAGGGUGACCGGCCACAUUGGGACUGAGAUACGGCCCAGACUCCUACGGGAGGCAGCAGUGGGGAAUAUUGCACAAUGGGCGGAAGCCUGAUGCAGCAACGCCGCGUGCGGGAUGACGGCCUUCGGGCUGUAAACCGCUUUCGCCUGUGACGAAGCGUGAGUGACGGUAAUGGGUAAAGAAGCACCGGCUAACUACGUG